Vicia faba (fava bean) is the source of this 192-nucleotide non-coding RNA. NCBI's taxonomy places the organism in Eukaryota, Viridiplantae, Streptophyta, Magnoliopsida, Fabales, Fabaceae. The record is from the annotation of a GenBank genome assembly.
AUGCUAUGUGGUGACAAUGGGAAGAAUAAAUUCAUGUCGUUGUCCAAAAUUGCAGACCCUCGCCACACAAAGUUAGGAUAUGGAUGGGACGAAUUCUGGAAGUCCAAUAACUUCAAAGCCGAAGAUAGACUUCGAUUUAGGUUUGAUGUUACUUCUUUGGACAAAACAUGCUAUGUAUAUUUAUUUCCGUAA